This is a non-coding RNA of Mesocricetus auratus (golden hamster), 47 nucleotides long. NCBI's taxonomy places the organism in Eukaryota, Metazoa, Chordata, Mammalia, Rodentia, Cricetidae. The record is from Rfam.
CCAAAGGCUCUUUUCAGAGUCACUCAACAAUAAAUAAACAGUUAAUU